CGGAUGCUCCGGUUGGAUGCAUGUCCUUCCGGGAAAGAUUCUAUCGGUAUGGGAUGGGGUCGCGUCCUAUCAGCUUGAUGGCGGGGUAACGGCCCACCAUGGCUUCGACGGGUAGCCGGCCUGAGAGGGCGACCGGCCACAUUGGGACUGAGAUACGGCCCAGACUCCUACGGGAGGCAGCAGUGGGGAAUAUUGCACAAUGGGCGCAAGCCUGAUGCAGCGACGCCGCGUGCGGGAUGGAGGCCUUCGGGUUGUAAACCGCUUUUGAUCGGGAGCAAGCCCUUCGGGGUGAGUGUACCUUUCGAAUAAGCACCGGCUAACUACGUGCCAGCAGCCGCGGUAAUACGUAGGGUGCAAGCGUUAUCCGGAAUUAUUGGGCGUAAAGGGCUCGUAGGCGGUUCGUCGCGUCCGGUGUGAAAGCCCAUCGCUUAACGGUGGGUCUGCGCCGGGUACGG
This 455-nucleotide ribosomal RNA is filed under the name uncultured Bifidobacterium sp. RNAcentral's name for it is "bacterial SSU rRNA". It matches the Rfam family "Bacterial small subunit ribosomal RNA", at positions 170 to 635 of the family's 1533-position model. The record is from RNAcentral. Lineage: Bacteria; Bacillati; Actinomycetota; Actinomycetes; Bifidobacteriales; Bifidobacteriaceae.